UGGGGAAUAUUGCACAAUGGGCGAAAGCCUGAUGCAGCAACGCCGCGUGAGGGAUGACGGCCUUCGGGUUGUAAACCUCUUUUAGUAGGGAAGAAGCGAAAGUGACGGUACCUGCAGAAAAAGCACCGGCUAACUACGUGCCAGCAGCCGCGGUAAUACGUAGGGUGCGAGCGUUGUCCGGAAUUAUUGGGCGUAAAGAGCUCGUAGGCGGUCUGUCGCGUCUGCUGCGAAAACCCGAGGCUCAACCUCGGGCUUGCAGUGGGUACGGGCAGACUAGAGUGCGGUAGGGGAGAAUGGAAUUCCUGGUGUAGCGGUGGAAUGCGCAGAUAUCAGGAGGAACACCGAUGGCGAAGGCAGUUCUCUGGGCCGUAACUGACGCUGAGGAGCGAAAGCGUGGGGAGCGAACAGGAUUAGAUACCCUGGUAGUCCACGCCGUAAACGUUGGGCGCUAGAUGUGGGGACCAUUCCACGGUUUCCGUGUCGCAGCUAACGCAUUAAGCGCCCCGCCUGGGGCAGUACGGCCGCAAGGCUAAAACU
This 537-nucleotide ribosomal RNA is filed under the name uncultured bacterium. RNAcentral's name for it is "partial 16S ribosomal RNA". It matches the Rfam family "Bacterial small subunit ribosomal RNA", at positions 355 to 901 of the family's 1533-position model. The record is from RNAcentral.